This 465-nucleotide ribosomal RNA is filed under the name uncultured bacterium. Its description in RNAcentral is "partial 16S ribosomal RNA". It matches the Rfam family "Bacterial small subunit ribosomal RNA", at positions 339 to 795 of the family's 1533-position model. The record is from RNAcentral.
CUACGGGUGGCUCCAGUGGGGAAUAUUGGACAAUGGGGGAAACCCUGAUCCAGCAAUGCCGCGUGUGUGAAGAAGGCCUGCGGGUUGUAAAGCACUUUCGGUUGGGAGGACUGCUUCUAGCACUAAUAUUGUUGGAAGUUGACGUUACCUUCAGAAGAAGCACCGGCUAACUCCGUGCCAGCAGCCGCGGCAAUACGGAGGGUGCAUGCGUUAAUCGGAAUUACUGGGCGUAAAGCGCGCGUAGGCGGCUAGAUCAGUCGGGUGUGAAAGCCCCGGGCUUAACCUGGGAACUGCAUCCGAUACUGUCUAGCUUGAGUACAGGAGAGGAGAGUGGAAUUCCACAUGUAGCGGUGAAAUGCGUAGAUAUGUGGAGGAACACCAAUGGCGAAGGCAGCUCUCUGGCCUGAUACUGACGCUGAGGUGCGAAAGCGUGGGGAGCAAACAGGAUUAGAUACCCCAGUAGUC